UUUUGUGAAGAGGGAUAGGUAAGUGCAGGGAGUUUGUGCUGCAACAGUGCCUGGCAAUUUUUCAGAAAUGAGUUCGAUAUUUCACUCCACCUUUGAGCUGUUCACACCCAUGGCUAUCCCUGGAAGGAGCUGGGGUUGUUCAUGCUUUCGGCUGCCUGGCUUCCUGAGGUCUCGCUGCUUUCUGGGGAAAGAUGACUGGCUUCCACGUGGGAAGCUUCUGUCUAGCACGUGAUGAUGUGGUCCUGCCUGCCACUGUGCACCUUCCCAGGUAUUGAAUUUUGACCUUUUCUUUUCAAGUUUCUGUGCUUAUGUGUUUUUAAUGUUUACUUUUGCCACUUACGAUAAUAUCACCAAAAUAAUAUGCAGAGAGUUUUGGAAGAAACACAGAAAACAUGAGGAGAAUGAGACAAUUCCUUGGGCUGUAGCUUGGACCCAACUGAAUCCUGAGUACUCUGUGGCUGAUGCUGUGCUACCCGUGGGAGAGACACACUCAGGAGUGGCUGUUUGACCAGAAAAGAAGGUCAUGGCCCCUGGCCUGGCCCCAGCCCUGCAGGGACACAGGAGCCACACCAUUUGCAGCAUCCACACCUUGCUCCAGAAGGCCUGGCUGCCUUCUCCCGGGGGGUGAUUCAGGGAUUUAGUCUUGGACCAGACCCCCCUCCACAGCUGCCCAGCUCCAGACCCAUCUCCUGGAUUGAGGGUGUCUGGGCUGGACCCAGUGGGUCACUCUGGCAGCUUCAUCUGAGCCGAAGGUGUGGGUCCUCUGUGGCUGUGCGAUUGACCUCUAUGGGAAGGAGCGUUCUGCCCAUUUUCCUUGUUUUCAGUGCUGCGGUAUCAGACAGUGAUCUGAGGAAAUCCUGUCGGGGAAGGCAGGCUGCUUUGAAAACAGGAGCUGGUGAAACUGAGCCCUCUGCAUCUGUGAAUGUGCCCCAGGUGCUGCUGCUGGGGACAUGGAUGCCGAGCGGAGGCCUGCGUGGCCUCCUGAGCAGCAGCUGACCGCCCGUCUCAUGCUGGGCGGGACCCCUGGGUGGGUGGACAUGAGACCACUGUUGGCCAGGGACACCGAGCGGAGGCCUAUGUGGCCGCCUGAGCAGCAGCUGACCGCCUGUCUCACUGUUGGCCAGGGCUUUGUGGCAUGGGUGUUUUCCAGUCUGCCUGGAGCAGCGAGCAGCAGCUGUGCAGACCAGUGGCGGUGGGAGGGUUUGCCGGGACAGAUGGGGACACUGGCCAGCUUGUCUUCUGUCCAGCAGCCCCACUGUACUUGGCCUCCUGUCCUGUCACUGGGAGCCCUGGCUGGGGCUGCUUUGAGCAGUGACGCUGGCCCAGAGCAGCUUCCCACAUGACCAGAGCCGAGGGUCUGCCCUGUCCUAGGUUAGGUCUUCAUGGUUUAGAAUAAAACUGUGAGAGAUGUUUAUUAUGGGCAUUGAAGACUUAGGUUUUCCUAAAUUUUCAGUGACCAGUGAUCGGCCUUCAAUACCUGUGCUGAGAGGAAUUUUAAGCCAGGGGAAAUGUGAGAAAAUGUUCCCAUUCAGGAGAGACUGUACUGGAGUUUCUUUCUUCCUCUGUAUUUUGUGGUGUUCACCUUUAACCACAUUUCAUCCAAAAAGAUGACGCAGCUUUAACAUGAAUGUUACAUUUUUAUUUUCAAGGAAUUAUCUAUGUUCCCUUUGUAAAGGAAAUAUUGUAAAUCUUUUUAUUAGAUAAUGUAAAGAUGUAUAUCAGUAUUUUUGGAUCAUGUUAUAGAUUAUGGAUAUAUUGUUUAAUAAAUAAAGUAUUUUUUGGAACAAAC
Long non-coding RNA from Mandrillus leucophaeus (drill), 1789 nucleotides. RefSeq lists it as uncharacterized. The record is from RefSeq and is a predicted model, not a curated record. The transcript has 2 exons. Lineage: Eukaryota; Metazoa; Chordata; Mammalia; Primates; Cercopithecidae.